This 29-nucleotide small RNA is filed under the name Bombyx mori (domestic silkworm). RNAcentral's name for it is "piRNA piR-bmo-1617039". Lineage: Eukaryota; Metazoa; Arthropoda; Insecta; Lepidoptera; Bombycidae. The record is from RNAcentral.
UUAUUUGAUUGUCGAGUAGUUGCAUAACC